RNAcentral lists this ribosomal RNA (486 nucleotides) under uncultured bacterium. RNAcentral describes it as "partial 16S ribosomal RNA". It matches the Rfam family "Bacterial small subunit ribosomal RNA", at positions 29 to 507 of the family's 1533-position model. The record is from RNAcentral.
AUUGAACGCUGGCGGCAUGCCUUACACAUGCAAGUCGAACGGCAGCACGGGUGCUUGCCCCUGGUGGCGAGUGGCGAACGGGUGAGUAAUACAUCGGAACAUGUCCUGUAGUGGGGGAUAGCCCGGCGAAAGCCGGAUUAAUACCGCAUACGAUCUACGGAUGAAAGCGGGGGACCUUCGGGCCUCGCGCUAUAGGGUUGGCCGAUGGCUGAUUAGCUAGUUGGUGGGGUAAAGGCCUACCAAGGCGACGAUCAGUAGCUGGUCUGAGAGGACGACCAGCCAAACGGGGACUGGGACCCGGCCCAGCCCCCUCCGGGAGGAGCGAGGGGGGAUUUUGGGAAAAGGGGCGAAGGCCUGACCAAGAAAGGCCGGGUGGGUGAAAAAGGCCUUGGGGUUGUAAAGCAUUUUUGCCGGGAAAAAAAUCCUUGGCCCUAAUAGGGUGGGGGGAUGACGGACCGGAAAAAAAAAGCCCCGGCUAACUACGUG